UGGCCAAUCUUGUCCCCCAACUACCCCCGUUUGACCUGCGAAAGGUAAGAGGUGCUUAAAUGAAAAUGAAAGAAAGAUUUUCUUCAUUUCUUCUUCUUCUUCUUCUUCUUCUUACAAAGUAGCUAAUGGAGGCCAUUCAAAGAGAAACACUCGCCUCACUCUCAAACUCUGUGAAGCUGUUGUUAGAAAAGAUUGGUCCUAUCGACAAAUUCGGGAAGAAGAUGCAUAGAGCUCCAUUCUUGAAAGAGGUGAAGGAAACACUGGUGAAUCUUGAAGAUCUACUUUAUUAUGCUAAGAAGAAACUCAUCCCCUGCCAAGCUAACAACAAAUCGCUGGAUAUGCUGAGACGUGCUGUUUUUCAAGUUGCCUAUUUGCUUGACCAAAGAGAUUUUUUACGGUAUGAUACUCCUUUCCAUCUCAUUCACAACAUGGAUUAUGGUUUAUCUUUUUUCAUUGCAGUGACUAAGUCUAAAAUGAACGGUUUAAGUCAACUAUUACAAGGCUUAUAUUCAGGAAAACAACUUGGUGAAGAUGAAUCUUCUAUUUAUGGAAGAGAGGCUGAUAUUGAGAAACUUAAACAUCUUUUGUUGUCUAGUAGUGAUGGUGAUACUAAAACAAGAGUGAUUUCCAUUGUUGGUAUGGGAGGCAUUGGUAAAACAGCCCUUGCUAAACACCUUUUCAAUCUUCCUCAAGUUAAGGCCAAAUUUAAGUUCAAACUGUGGGCAGAUUUCUCAAAAGAUGUUAAUGAUUUCAGUGUUUUUAAAAACAUUCUUAGAUCUAUUACUUCAAAAACAACGAGUAAUGCUACAAGUGACAUCAACACCAUUUACCCAAAUUUUUUGCUGGUAUUGGAUGGUGUGUGGGAUGCAAGAUUUGUCAAUUGGACAUUACUCAUGGAUAUCUUGAAUGCUGGGGAGACAGGAAGUAGGAUCAUUGUAACAUCAAGAGAUGAAAGAGUUGCAAUGUCCAUGAAAACAUUUGUUUUUGUUCACUAUAUGAGACCCUUGAAAGUUGAAGAUUGCUGGUCUUUACUAGCCGAACAUGCAUUUGGAGCACACAACUACCAUCAAGUAUAUUAUCCAAAAGAAAUUAGCGCACCUAACAAAGAAAAGCGAGAAGAGAUUGGCCGGAAAAUUGCAAAAAAGUGUGAUGGAUUACCAUUAGCUGCUGUAGAAUAUGGGGCUCUUCCUUGCAUCUCACGGAGCUCAGAUGUUUGGGAUUAUGUGCUAGAAAGCCACGCUUGGGAAACAGCUUAUGAGGUGCUAGCUUCUCUCAAAUUGAGCUACAAUUUUCUUUCUCAUCCUUUAAAACAGUGUUUUCAAUAUUGUUCAAUUUUUCCAAAGAAGUCCAUCUUAGAAAAAAAUAUGGUAGUUCAGUUGUGGAUUGCAGCAGGCUUACUAGAUUCAUCAUCCACAAAUCAAGAAAAAGUUGGAGAAGAAUACUUUGAUGAACUAGUGUCAAGGUCAUUGAUACAUCGGCGGUCUAUUGGUGAUGAGGAAAGAAACUUUGGAAUGCACAAUUUCAUCCAUGAUUUAGCUACGGAGGUUUCAUCUUCAAAUGAUUAUUCUUCAUACCGUAUCAGCAUGGGCAAACGUAACCUUGAUGGUAGGAUGCAUAAUAUCUCAUACAAUAGAGGGAAAUAUGAUUCAUAUGACAAAUUUGAUAAAUUAUACGGAUUAGAAGGUUUGCGUACCUUCUUAGCAUUCCCAUUACAAGAACAACUUCCUCUUUGUUUGCUAUCCAACAAGAUAGUACAUGACUUGCUGCCAAAAAUGAAACAAUUACGCAUGUUGUCUCUGUCAAGCUACAAGAGUAUCACCAAGGUUCCCAAUUCUAUUGGAAAUUUGUUAGACCUGCGGUACUUAAAUCUUUCUCACACUAAUAUCGAAAGGCUCCCUUCUGAAACAUGCAAGCUUUACCAUCUGCAGUUCUUGUUGUUGGCAGGCUGUAAAAGGCUCGCUGAAUUGCCGAAGGACAUGGGAAAAUUGAUUAAUCUGCAGUACCUUGAUGUUAGUAACACCGCAUUGAGAGAGAUGCCCGUACAAAUAGCCAAACUAGAAAAUCUCCACACUUUGUCUGACUUUGUUGUCAGCAAACAGAAUGGUGGAUUGAAUAUUGCAGAGCUAGGAAAACUUCCCCACCUACAUGGAAAACUAUCAAUCUCACAGCUACAAAAUGUUAAUGACCCCUUUGAAGUAGAUCGAGCCAAUAUAAAGAAGAAUGAACAAAUAGACGAGUUAUCUUUGGAAUGGGAUCUUGGUAGUACUUUUUUAGAUUUACAAAUUCAAAGUGUUGUACUUGAAAAGUUGCGACCCUCAACAAAUUUGAAAAGUCUCACCAUCAAAGGCUAUGGUGGAAUCAGCUUUCCAAAUUGGUUAGGUGAUUCUUUAUUUAGCAACAUGGUGUGUUUAAGGAUCUCGAAUUGUAAUGAUUGUUUAUGGCUUCCACCCCUUGGAAAAUUGGGAAAUUUGAAAGAACUCGUUAUUGAAGGGAUGCACUCAGUGGAGACAAUUGGUAUUGAGUUCUAUGGAAGUGGUGAUUCUUCGUUUCAAUCAUUUCCCUCUUUGCAGAUUCUACACUUUGAGAAUAUGGAAGAGUGGGAGGAAUGGGACUUGAUUGGAGGUACGCCUAUAAUGUUUCCUAGUCUAAAAACUUUAUCCCUAAGGAAGUGCCCAAAACUGAUUGUAGGAAACAUAAUUGACAGAUUUCCUUCCUUAAUUGAACUUGAGUUAAGAGAAUGUCCUUUAUUGGUGCAAUCAAUUCCAUUAUUUGAUCAUGUAUUUGGGCAACUGAUGUUCCCUCUGAACUCUCUUCAACAGCUGACCAUAGACGGUUUUCCAUCUCUGAUGUCGUUCCCAACAGAGGGUUUACCAAAAACCUUGAAGCUUCUUAUAAUCAGCAACUGUGAGAAUCUAGAAUUCCUUCCUCACGAUAACUUGCAUAAUUAUACAUCGCUUGAGGAAUUGAAAAUAUCUUAUAGUUGUAAUUCAAUGAUAUCAUUUACCUUAGGCACUCUCCCUGUCCUCAAGAGUCUGUUUAUUGAAGGUUGUAUGAAUCUGAAAUCAAUAUUAAUUGCAGAAGACGAGUCGGAAAAGAGUCUCUCAUUUCUUAGAAGCCUCAAAAUAUGGGAUUGUAAUGAACUGGAGUCAUUUCCCCCAGGUGAAUUGGCAACUCCAAACCUUGUUUAUAUUGCACUGUGGAAGUGUGAGAAGCUUCAUUCACUGCCAGAAGCAAUGAACAGUCUAUUUGGCCUUCAUGUAAUGGAAAUUGAUAACCUACCGAAUCUUCAAUCUUUUGUCAUAGAUGAGUUGCCUAGCAGUUUACGAAAACUGUCUGUUGGCUUUGUUGGUGGGAUUAUGUGGAAUACCGGGCCAACUUGGGAACAUCUCACUUGUCUCUCGGAGUUGCGAAUUAACGGCGAUGAUAUGGUGAACAUGCUGAUGGUGCCAUUGCUACCUAAAACGCUUGUGAAACUAUGCAUUUGUGGUCUUACUGAUAGAAGCAUUGGUGAGAGGUGGCUUCAACAUCUUACUUCUCUUCAAAACCUUGAGAUUAUUAACGCUCCCAAACUCAAGUCAUUGCCAAAGAAAGGAUUUCCUUCCUCGCUUUCAGUAUUAAGUGUGACUCGCUGUCCAUUACUAGAAACAAGUUUGCGGAAAAAGUGGGGGAAAGAGUGGCGUAAGAUUGCUCACAUUCCCUCCAUAGUUAUUAAUGACGAAUUGAUCACAUGAGUCUUGUUCGGAAUUGUGUUUUGUGUCACCCCUGCUUCUUCCCAAUCUUGCUGUUGUAAGAAGCCAAAUUCACCUCAAAACCUCCCUUCAAGUGUAAUUGAUGGCUUGCACAAAGAUAGCAGCAACUCUAUUGGAGGGAUUAUGUGGAAUACUGAGCCAACUUGGGAACAUCUCACUUGUCUUUCAGUGUUGGGAAUUAACGACGAUGGUGCGGGAAAAACGGUGAUGGGGCCACUUCUACCUGCAUUGCUUGUGAAAUUAUGCAUUUGUGGUUUUAAUGAUAAAAGCAUUGAUGGGAUGUGGCUUCGACAUCUCACAUCUCUCAAAAACCUUGAAAUUGUGAACGCUCCCAAACUCAAGUCUUUGCCCAAAGGAUUGCCUUACUCUCUUUCAAUACUAAGUAUCACUCGCUGUCCAUUACUGGUAGCAACAUUGCGGAGGAAGCGAGGGAAAGAGUGGCGUAAGAUUGCUCACAUUCCUGCCAUAAUUAUCGACGACGAAUUGAUCACAUAAGUUUCAUCUCUAGGUGAGUCUCUAAAGUACUUUUUUUGUGUGUCUUUCUUAUUAUGUACUCAUCAUUUAAUAUUAUAAUGCUAACUCAUUUUUUAAUCAUUGCAUUACAUUCUAUGUCACCCGUGCUUCUGCCCAAUCUUGCUGUUGUUAGAUGCCAAAUUCACAUGCACUGACUGCAACCAAAUCCAAUCGACCAAGGGCUUCAUGUGCGAUUGAAGACUUGCAACAAGAUGGCAGUACUGGAAUCUAAGUUACCUUACAGUUCUAAAGUAAUUGUUAGAAAGCUAGUAGAUGGGGAUCAUUGUGGUGGCUGCUGAACUAUUUUGCACUGUGGAAGUGUAAGAAACUUUUGCACUUGCAGAACCGCCUGUUUGCAGAUCAACCAGGGGCCUAUUGCGUGAUUGGAACCAAGAUGGAAGGAAUGGCAUCUCUGGUUUGAAUUUCCUCUUUGAUACAGAAAGGAGAUGACUGCUGGAGUAACUACGACGAGCAACAAUCAUCUGUCAGAUUUGAUUUUGCAGCAACUGCUUUACCAUAGAACAUUGGAUGCAGUAGAGAGGAUCCAUUUUCAUGUGAAUAAAAAGAGGAGCAGUGUUUUCUUAUAGGAGCAGUGUUAUUCCUAUUCAUUCAAACUAAGCAGCUUUGGGUGACUUUUGUGCCUAAAACACUUUUUCCAGUUUAUGAGGAGGUGUCGUUUGAAUAAUCAUGUUUUAAUUUUUACAACUUCUUGUUCAUGACUCAUGAGUUGUAUUUGUAUGUGCAUAUUUUGAUUAGAGAGACAUGACUUAUAAGUUAGUUGUAAAUAACAUUGAUGUGACUUUGUAUAUCACAAUGAUCCUCAUGACAAAUUUGAUAUUGGACAUGUUUUAGCAAGGUUUGCAUAGCACUGGCAUAUCAUUUAUAAAUGAACCCGUUUAUUUUCUGUCACUUUAUU
This is an RNA transcript of Vicia villosa (hairy vetch), 5178 nucleotides long. It is a transcript of the gene named putative disease resistance RPP13-like protein 1, with no coding region annotated. NCBI's taxonomy places the organism in Eukaryota, Viridiplantae, Streptophyta, Magnoliopsida, Fabales, Fabaceae. The transcript is spliced from 5 exons. The record is from RefSeq and is a predicted model, not a curated record.